This is a long non-coding RNA of Numida meleagris (helmeted guineafowl), 359 nucleotides long. RefSeq lists it as uncharacterized. The transcript has 3 exons. NCBI's taxonomy places the organism in Eukaryota, Metazoa, Chordata, Aves, Galliformes, Numididae. The record is from RefSeq and is a predicted model, not a curated record.
UGGGGGACAUUGUAGCAAGAAUGGAGCUUUUCUAAUGGAAGAUGAUUUGCUCUUCUGAUGAAAAUAUUUUCUAGCUCAUCUCAUUUGAAAUGAAUGUUUGUUAACAGCUUACAGAGACAACUUUUGUUCUUGUGCGGUCAGGAGCUCAAGUGACUCCACUGAAACCCUGGCAUUUAUCACAGACAAAAUUAGGUCAGAAGAGAGCACAGAGGUACUGAACUGAAAAGAGAUAAAUUCAUCCUUAGAAGGAAAAGAAUGGCUCGAGCUGCAAACUUGGGUUUAAUUUGUCUCCUCCACAUAAGGACUCCAGUACUUGCAUUCUGGUGACUACCAGCAUAGUAAUGAACCUGGUAUAUAGG